ACCUUUAUUCUGUAGAACCUUGUCAAUGAAGAAAACCUUAGGCCUGUCAGAAAAGAAUUCAGCAUGUUUUACAAAAACUUCACGGAGAUGUUUAUUUCCAUUUAUAAAUACAACCCAUUUUCCUCCAAGGGAUAAACUAAAAAUAUUUCCAUACGUAGCCUUCAGUUUUCCACUGAUUUCAAUUAAAUUACCCUGCAACAGAAUUGUUAAAUUUCCCAAAAAUGGCAAAAUUCUAGGUCCUGGUGGCGAGCCAUAUGGGCGACGUGAUUUUAACAGAAACAAUGUUAUAGUUAUUAUGAUAAAAGCAAUCAAAAAACCUGAACUGCAAAAUAAAUUUAUAACCUGCAUCUUCGAUCACAGUGUAAACAAGUAUAUGAAGAUUCUAAUAUGAC
Molecule: long non-coding RNA, 392 nt
Filed under: Mytilus galloprovincialis (Mediterranean mussel)
Lineage: Eukaryota; Metazoa; Mollusca; Bivalvia; Mytilida; Mytilidae
Source: RNAcentral